Molecule: ribosomal RNA, 461 nt
Filed under: uncultured bacterium
Lineage: Bacteria
Description: bacterial SSU rRNA
Rfam family: Bacterial small subunit ribosomal RNA
Source: RNAcentral
UACGGAAGGCAGCAGUGGGGAAUAUUGCACAAUGGGCGCAAGCCUGAUGCAGCCAUGCCGCGUGUAUGAAGAAGGCCUUCGGGUUGUAAAGUACUUUCAGCGGGGAGGAAGGCGAUGCGGUUAAUAACCGCGUCGAUUGACGUUACCCGCAGAAGAAGCACCGGCUAACUCCGUGCCAGCAGCCGCGGUAAUACGGAGGGUGCAAGCGUUAAUCGGAAUUACUGGGCGUUAAAGCGCACGCAGGCGGUCUGUUAAGUCAGAUGUGAAAUCCCCGAGCUUAACCUGGGAACUGCAUUUUGAAACUGGCAGGCUUGAGUCUUGUAGAGGGGGUAGAAUUCCAGGUGUAGCGGUGAAAUGCGUAGAGAUCUGGGAGGAAUACCGGUGGCGAAGGCGGGCCCCUGGGACAAAGACUGACGCUCAGGGUGCGAAAGCGUGGGGAGCAAACGAGGAUUAGGAUAACC